This 292-nucleotide ribosomal RNA is filed under the name uncultured bacterium. RNAcentral describes it as "partial 16S ribosomal RNA". The record is from RNAcentral.
GGACUACCAGGGUUUCUAAUCCUGUUUGAUCCCCAUGCUUUCGUGCAUGAGCGUCGAUAAAGCGCCAGUUCGCUGCCUUCGCCACUGGUGUUCUUCCGAAUAUCUACACAUUUCACUGCUACACUCGGAAUUCCACGAACCUCUCGCUUAUCCAAGACCCACAGUAUCAAAAGACGUUUCGGCGUUGAGCGCCGAGAUUUCACUCCUGACUUAUGAGUCCGCCUGCGCACCCUUUACACCCAGUAAAUCCGGACAACGCUUGGAUCCUACGUAUUACCGCGGCGGCUGGCAC